GAUGAACGCUGGCGGCGUGCCUAAUACAUGCUAGUCGAGCGAACGGACGAGAAGCUUGCUUUUCUGAUGUUAGCGGCGGACGGGUGAGUAACACGUGGAUAACCUACCUAUAAGACUGGGAUAACUUCGGGAAACCGGAGCUAAUACCGGAUAAUAUUUUGAACCGCAUGGUUCAAAAGUGAAAGACGGUCUUGCUGUCACUUAUAGAUGGAUCCGCGCUGCAUUAGCUAGUUGGUAAGGUAACGGCUUACCAAGGCAACGAUGCAUAGCCGACCUGAGAGGGUGAUCGGCCACACUGGAACUGAGACACGGUCCAGACUCCUACGGGAGGCAGCAGUAGGGAAUCUUCCGCAAUGGGCGAAAGCCUGACGGAGCAACGCCGCGUGAGUGAUGAAGGUCUUCGGAUCGUAAAACUCUGUUAUUAGGGAAGAACAUAUGUGUAAGUAACUGUGCACAUCUUGACGGUACCUAAUCAGAAAGCCACGGCUAACUACGUGCCAGCAGCCGCGGUAAUACGUAGGUGGCAAGCGUUAUCCGGAAUUAUUGGGCGUAAAGCGCGCGUAGGCGGUUUUUUAAGUCUGAUGUGAAAGCCCACGGCUCAACCGUGGAGGGUCAUUGGAAACUGGAAAACUUGAGUGCAGAAGAGGAAAGUGGAAUUCCAUGUGUAGCGGUGAAAUGCGCAGAGAUGUGGAGGAACACCAGUGGCGAAGGCGACUUUCUGGUCUGUAACUGACGCUGAUGUGCGAAAGCGUGGGGAUCAAACAGGAUUAGAUACCCUGGUAGUCCACGCCGUAAACGAUGAGUGCUAAGUGUUAGGGGGUUUCCGCCCCUUAGUGCUGCAGCUAACGCAUUAAGCACUCCGCCUGGGGAGUACGACCGCAAGGUUGAAACUCAAAGGAAUUGACGGGGGCCCGCACAAGCGGUGGAGCAUGUGGUUUAAUUCGAAGCAACGCGAAGAACCUUACCAAAUCUUGACAUCCUUUGACAACUCUAGAGAUAGAGCCUUCCCCUUCGGGGGACAAAGUGACAGGUGGUGCAUGGUUGUCGUCAGCUCGUGUCGUGAGAUGUUGGGUUAAGUCCCGCAACGAGCGCAACCCUUAAGCUUAGUUGCCAUCAUUAAGUUGGGCACUCUAAGUUGACUGCCGGUGACAAACCGGAGGAAGGUGGGGAUGACGUCAAAUCAUCAUGCCCCUUAUGAUUUGGGCUACACACGUGCUACAAUGGACAAUACAAAGGGCAGCGAAACCGCGAGGUCAAGCAAAUCCCAUAAAGUUGUUCUCAGUUCGGAUUGUAGUCUGCAACUCGACUACAUGAAGCUGGAAUCGCUAGUAAUCGUAGAUCAGCAUGCUACGGUGAAUACGUUCCCGGGUCU
This 1372-nucleotide ribosomal RNA is filed under the name uncultured bacterium. RNAcentral's name for it is "bacterial SSU rRNA". It matches the Rfam family "Bacterial small subunit ribosomal RNA", at positions 28 to 1381 of the family's 1533-position model. The record is from RNAcentral.